ACCGUCUGGUCUGAUAUAGGCGCAGGCAGGUGAACAUUUUGAUUAUUGAGAACACAGAAAUGUCAGCACACAGCUGAGUCUUAAACACUCGUCGUAGCGAAUUUCUCCUUGCACAAGCAGCACGAGCACAAGCAAAUCAAGUCAGCACACACGCACGCACAUAUAAGCUUCUUUCAGAAGAAGCUUAUAACCAGUACUAAUUUUACAUCACAGCGGGCUUCAGUAGCAGGCUGGCAGUUGGAAUAGAAGCAGCCUGACACCUCAUGGCGACCAAACAAAGCGAACUAAACACUGAACAGCUACCAUAAUCCAAAUUAUAGAUUUUCACCUAGCAAUCUAGAGUUCCAUCUCAGGUCGCGUGCUUGUCGUCCUUGAGAUGGCGCACCUUCUCCUUCUCCUUCCACCUAGCAAUUUUUGUUGUUUUUAAACUAUAUGAAAGCACUCAACAGAAAUAAAUGACUCUCUAAAACUUUCGGGUUGUCUCUCUGGCAGCGCUUUCUUUAAAGCCAUUAAGCUAGGCAUAUAGUGCUUAAAUAAUGGAUCCACCCGGAUCCCAAGGUAUAUCAAAGCCAAUUUUAAUUAGCAAUGAUUUGUAAUUUAGCAGUGAGCACAAAGUAACAUAUAUCAUGCAACAACGAAGUCUAACUCUCUUCCUAUGCAUCGACAUGUCAUAAAAGAACAAUUCAUGUACACAUAGUAAAGGCCAAUGCAUAGUAUAAACAAUUUCUUGCAAUUUUAUUGUAUUGGAAAUAUAGAGAGGUGGAGAUAUAGUUCCUCUCUCAUAAUAAUUGCAAGUAGGAGCAGCAAGCACAUGCAUAUUAUACUCAUCAAAAUCAUCAUGUGUAGUAGUAAAAGACAACCCAUCAAUAUAAUCCUUAUAAGGGCAAACUUCUCCGAUAUAGUGUAGUUGGGAGAAUUCAAAAAGAUAAUAGGACUAUCAUGCGUGGGUGCAAUAGCAACAAUUUCAUGUUUAACAUAAGGAACUAUAGCAAGUUCAUCUCCAUAAGCAUAAUUCAUAUUGGCAUCCUGGCCACAAGCAUAGCUAGCAUCAUCAAAAAGGGAUAUUUCCAGAGAAUCAACGGGAUCAUAACAAUCACCAUAGCAAUCAUCCUUCGGUAAGCACGAAGGGAAAUUAAACAAUGCAUGAGUUGGAAAGUUACUCUCAUUAGAAGGUGGGCACGGGUAGCUAAUCCGCUCUUCCUCCUUUUGUUCUCCGCUCUCCUCAUCAUCUUUUUCAUCCAAGGAGCUCACAGUUUCAUCAAUUUCUUCUUCCAUAGAUUCCUGCAAAAUAUUAGUCUCUUCUGGGACAACGGAGUAGUCCUCAAUAUAUGGUUCAACAUAAGCAUUGAAGCAUAAUUAUCAUAGCAAUAUUUAAGUAUGUCAAAAUUUUCAGAUUUGUAAAGAAUAGCAUCAUACGUUUCAAUCAAAAAAGCAAUUUCAUAAGCACCCUUAAAAGCAAUAAAUUCUUUAAUUUGUUGAACAUCAUAGUAAAUAUAAACACCCUUGGCAUACGAAGAUACAAUUCCAUUAUCAAUAAACUCACAUUGGUAGGAAAGGUGUUUCUUAGGGUUUUCAGAACAACAAAUAAUAUCAUAUAUUUCACAUAAAUUCCAAGCAUAGCAUUGCAAACGAUGAAUUUGACCCAGUAAAAGUUUCCCUUUUUCAGAUAUACGGUGUCGCACAUAACAAGCAUGCUCAUCUAAAGAUUUGCCCUCAACUAAGCUAGUUGGGGUUUCAGCACGAGCACAUAGGGAUCAAAGAUGAUUCAAGUAAUAAACUUCAGGAGUGUGGUAGAUUUUGAGUGGUUCUUCAACCAUUGGUUCAGUAGGUACAACUAAUUUUUUUGGUAUUUUGCGUUUCCUACCCAUAACUAAAGAUAGAAAACAAUUAAGAACAGCAAAUAAAAAUUACUUAGUGAUAAAGCAAGCAAGCACACACGAGAAUAUUCACCCCAUGCUAUUGCUCCCCGGCAACGGCACCAGAAAAAGGUCUUGAUAACCCACAAGUAUAUAGGGGAUCGCAACAGUUUUCGAUAAGUAAGACUGUCGAACCCAACGAGGAGCUAAAGGCAGAACAAAUAUUUCCUCAAGUUCUAUCGACCACCGAUACAACUCUACGCACGCUUGAUGUUCGCUUUACCUAGAACAAGUAUGAAACUAGAAGUACUUUGUAGGUGUUUUUGGAUAGGUUUGCAAGAUAAUAAAGAGCAUGUAAAUAAAAAGUAGGGGCUGUUUAGGUAAAGACACAACUAGGUUAGUUUUAAUAUAGAGCUUUUUGUUACGAGAAAGUUAUUUGUUCCUAAGCAAUAGAUAACUAGACCGGUAAUCAUUAUUGCAAUUUUAUAUGAGGGAGAGGCAUAAACUAACAUACUCUCUCUACUUGGAUCAUAUGCACUUAUGAUUGGAACUCUAGCAAGCAUCCGCAACUACUAAAGUUCAUUAAGGUAAAACCCAACCAUAGCAUUAAAGCAUCAAGUCCUCUUUAUCCCAUACGCAACAAUCCCCUUACUCGGGUUUGUGUUUCAGUCACUCACGCAACCCACUAUAAGCGAAUCAUGAACGUAUUGCAACACCCUACAACGGGGAUCCCUCACGCUUGCACGACACGGAGAGCACCAUAGGACAGCACCAAUAGAAAAACAUGCAACUCAAACCAAUCACGAUCAUCAAAUAACCCAUAGGACAAAACGGAUCUACUCAAACAUCAUAGAAUAACCAUACAUCAUUGAGAAAUAAUAUAUAGCGUUGAGCACCAUAUUUAAGUAGAGAUUACAACGGGUAAAAGAGGGGUUACACCACUGCAUAGAGGGAGGAAUAGUUGGUGAUGAUGGCGGUGAAGUUGUUGGUGAAGAUUGCGGUGAUGAUGAUGGUCCCCGGUGGCACUCCGGUGCCACCGGAAGCGAGGGGGAGAGAGCCCCCCUCCUUCUUCUUCUUCCUUGACCUCCUCCCUAGAUGGGAGAAGGGUUUUCCCUCUGGUCCAUGGCUCCAUGGCGUGGGAGGGGCGAGAGCCCCUCCGAGAUUGGAUCUGUCUUCUCUGUUUUUGCGUUCUCAAAUUCUACCCUUUCAUCGUUUCUUAUAUUGCCGGAGAUCCAUAACUCCGAUUGGGCUGAAAUUUUAACACGAUCUCUAUCCGGAUAUUAGUUUUCUUACGGCGAAAGAAGGGCAUCAACCGCCUUACGGGGUGGCCACGAGGGUCAGGGGCGCGCCCCUGCCUCGUGGCCCCCUCGAGUAUCGUCUCGCGUGGAUUUUUCUUCACAAAAAUCAUAUGUAUUCCAAAAAAAAUCUCCGUCAAUUUUUAUUCCGUUUGGACUCCGUUUAAUAUGGAUAUUCUGUGAAACAAAAAAACAUGCAACAAACAGGAACUGACACUGGACACUGGAUCAAUAUGUUAGUCCCAAAAAUAGUAUAAAAUUGCCAAAAAUAUAUAAAAGUUGUAGAAUAUUGGCAUGGAACAAUCAAAAAUUAUAGAUACAACGGAGACGUAUUAGGGCAGGCCGGUGCUUCGGCGCACGGUGGCGCGACUCUGAUGGAGAUGGCGCGGCGUCGGGGGUUGCGGGCGGUGGCGGCCUCGUCGGCCGAUGUGCUGCAGCAUGAUGACAGGGGUUGUCCGGAUCCUUCGAGGUCCGGCCAGGCCUAUGCGGGCCUGAUAAGCUCCUGUCGUCCCAUCCGGUCGGCUCCACGACAGCGAUGGUGGUAGUCCCCACCCGUCGACUGAGUGGCGAAUGCCCCCGAGCCCGUUGGCUCUUCGUCCCUUUCCCAGGUCUCGUGUCGGUGGCUCAGAGAGGCGGCAUUGAUGGUUCGAUGACCGUGAUGGCACAUGUUGAUGGGCGGCAGUUUUGAUGGUGCACUUCUGAUUGUUUGGGGUGGUGGUGGUCGUUUGGGUGGGAGAAAUCCCUGGUGGCUCGUCCAUCAUCAACGCGAUGACACCGUCAUACCUUCCCUUCCCAUUGCCCUCUACGUACAGAAAGAAAAACCCUUGGACUUGUUCGGACAACAAUGGCGUCGUUGUCGCAUUCCUUCCUGAAGAUGCUGCCCAGUACGUGACGCCUCGACCUUCCCUUCCCAUUGCCCUCUACGUACAGAAAGAGAAACCCUUGAACUUGUUCGGACAACAAUGGCGUCGUUGUCGCAUUCCUUCCUGAAGAUGCUGCCCAGUACGUGACGCCUCGAAGUGCUAGAAGCGCGGCUGCAGUGGCGUCAUCGUCACAUUCCUUCCUGAAGGUACUGCUCAGUGACAUUCCUUCCUUCCUGAAGGUACUACUGCUCAGUACGCGAUGCCUCGAGGUGCUAGAAGUACGGUGGUACUGGUACUUCUUCGGAGGAUGCAGCGGUUACGCACCCGGCCAUCUUUGUUUUGUCGAUAUGUGGUUGUUGGCAUUUAUUUCUCUCUUUAUCUCAUUUUUUUUUCUUUCUUGGAAACCCCUUUUUCUUACAAGGGAUAUAUGCCAGUUCUAUUUAGGGUUCAUGUUUGAAGUGUAAUUUGCUGUCUGACACAAUCCAACGCAAUCCAGGAGAGAGUAGCUCUCUAUGUCCGACACCGUCUGGUCUGAUAUAGGCGCAGGCAGGUGAACAUUUUGAUUAUUGAGAACACAGAAAUGUCAGCACACAGCUGAGCCUUAAACACUCGUCCUAGCGAAUUUCUCCUCGCACACAAGCAGCACGAGCACAAGCAAAUCAAGUCAGCACGCACGCACGCACAUAUAAGCUUCUUGCAGAAUAAGCUUACAACCAGUACUAAUUUCACAUCACAGCGAACUUCAGUAGCAGCCUGACACCUCAUGGCGACCAAACAAAGCGAACUAAACACUGAACAUCUACCAUAAUCCAAAUUAUUGAUUCCCACCUAGCAAUCUAGACUUUCAUCCUAGGUCGCGUGCUUGUCGUCCUUGAGAUGGCGCGCCUUCUCCUUCUCCUUCACCUCCGAUCCCUGCGACUUGUCAUACUCUGCGCACAUGAAAACGCGGAUCAAUUCACCACUCGCACCAUGCCACCAUCACAGAU
Molecule: long non-coding RNA, 5000 nt
Filed under: Triticum aestivum (bread wheat)
Lineage: Eukaryota; Viridiplantae; Streptophyta; Magnoliopsida; Poales; Poaceae
Description: long non-coding RNA (TAES_LNC001933)
Source: RNAcentral